RNAcentral lists this ribosomal RNA (301 nucleotides) under uncultured bacterium. RNAcentral describes it as "partial 16S ribosomal RNA". It matches the Rfam family "Bacterial small subunit ribosomal RNA", at positions 509 to 807 of the family's 1533-position model. The record is from RNAcentral.
CAGUCGCCGCGGUAAUACGUAGGGUGCAAGCGUUAUCCGGAAUUAUUGGGCGUAAAGAGCUCGUAGGCGGUUUGUCGCGUCUGCUGUGAAAACUGGAGGCUCAACCUCCAGCCUGCAGUGGGUACGGGCAGACUAGAGUGCGGUAGGGGAGAUUGGAAUUCCUGGUGUAGCGGUGGAAUGCGCAGAUAUCAGGAGGAACACCGAUGGCGAAGGCAGAUCUCUGGGCCGUAACUGACGCUGAGGAGCGAAAGCAUGGGGAGCGAACAGGAUUAGAUACCCGCGUAGUCCCUGUCUCUUAUAC